This 692-nucleotide ribosomal RNA is filed under the name uncultured marine bacterium. Its description in RNAcentral is "bacterial SSU rRNA". It matches the Rfam family "Bacterial small subunit ribosomal RNA", at positions 8 to 673 of the family's 1533-position model. The record is from RNAcentral.
AGAGUUUGAUCCUGGCUCAGAAUGAACGCUGGCGGCGUGCUUAACACAUGCAAGUCGCACGAGAACUCUUUAGCUUGCUAAAGAUAGUAAAGUGGCGCACGGGUGAGUAACACGUGGGUAAUCUACCUCUGAAUCGGGGAUAACACUGCGAAAGCAAUGCUAAUACCGGAUAAUAUCUUUUGAGCUUUGGCUUAUCAGAUUAAAGGCGGCCUCUACAUAUAAGCUACUGUUUGGAGAUGGGCCCGCGCACCAUUAGCUUGUUGGCGGGGUAAUGGCCCACCAAGGCAUCGAUGGUUAGCUGGUCUGAGAGGAUGAUCAGCCACACUGGAACUGACACACGGUCCAGACUCCUACGGGAGGCAGCAGUGAGGAAUUUUGCGCAAUGGGGGAAACCCUGACGCAGCAACGCCGCGUGAGUGAUGAAGGCCCUUGGGUCGUAAAGCUCUGUCAAGUGGGAAGAACCUGCUUUAUGCUAAUACCAUAUUGCACUGACGGUACCACUGAAGGAAGCACCGGCUAACUCCGUGCCAGCAGCCGCGGUAAUACGGAGGGUGUAAGCGUUAUUCGGAAUUAUUGGGCGUAAGAGCGCGUAGGCGGCCUUUUAAGUCAGAUGUGAAAGCCCGAGGCUUANCCUCNGAAGUGCAUUUGAAACUAAGAGGCUUGAGUAUGGGAGAGGGAAGUGGAAUUCCUGG